This 63-nucleotide transfer RNA is filed under the name Trigonopterus puspoi. RNAcentral's name for it is "tRNA-Trp". Lineage: Eukaryota; Metazoa; Arthropoda; Insecta; Coleoptera; Curculionidae. The record is from RNAcentral.
AAAAAUUUAAGUUAAAAAAACUGUUGACCUUCAAAGUCAAAAAUAGGAAAAUUCUAAUUUUUA